GAGCCAGCUCUCCGUAGCUGAUGUGAGGAGCUGUGCCCAGCAGGCAUGGUCUGGGAGCAGGAGGGAGGCACCAUCUUCCCAGCAGUGUGAGUUGAAGGCAUCCAGAGCAGUGGAAUGUCAGAAAUGCCUAACAAAGAAAUAUGCUGUUUAUCCUGAAGAAAGGAAUUCUAAAUGGCAGGAUAACAAUGAGACGAUACCAGUUCGCCAAUAAAUAUCUGGAGGCAGC
This 226-nucleotide long non-coding RNA is filed under the name Calidris pugnax (ruff). Its description in RNAcentral is "lncRNA (ENSCPUG00000014240.1)". The record is from RNAcentral. Lineage: Eukaryota; Metazoa; Chordata; Aves; Charadriiformes; Scolopacidae.